Molecule: ribosomal RNA, 430 nt
Filed under: uncultured bacterium
Lineage: Bacteria
Description: bacterial SSU rRNA
Rfam family: Bacterial small subunit ribosomal RNA
Source: RNAcentral
GGGGUAGCAAUACUACCGGCGCACGGGUGAGUAACACGUACAUAACAUACCAUAUACUGGGGUAUAGCUUUGGGAAACUGAAGGUAAUCCCCCAUAACAUUGCGAGAGGGCAUCUGAUUGCAAUUAAAGUUUCGACGGUAUAUGAUUGAUGUGCGUUUGAUUAGCUUGUUGGUAGGGUAACGGCCUACCAAGGCGACGAUCAAUAGCUGGCGUGAGAGCGCGACCAGCCACACUGGAACUGAGACACGGUCCAGACUCCUACGGGAGGCAGCAGUAGGGAAUAUUGGACAAUGGGCGAAAGCCUGAUCCAGCCAUGCCGCGUGAUAGAUGAAGGCCCUCUGGGUUGUAAAUAUCUUUUUAUCUGGGAAGAAACAAUCUUAUUCUUAAGAUCUUGACGGUACCAGAGGAAUAAGCACCGGCUAACUCCGUG